Molecule: ribosomal RNA, 468 nt
Filed under: uncultured bacterium
Lineage: Bacteria
Description: partial 16S ribosomal RNA
Rfam family: Bacterial small subunit ribosomal RNA
Source: RNAcentral
GACGAACGCUGGCGGCGUGCUUAACACAUGCAAGUCGAACGGAAACGACCUGCUUUUGUGGGUUGCACGAGUGGCGAACGGGUGAGUAACACGUGAGCAACCUGCCCUUGACUCUGGGAUAACUUCAGGAAACCGGGGCUAAUACCGGAUAGGAGCUCCUGCCGCAUGGCGGGGGUUGGAAAGUUUCGGCGGUUGGGGAUGGACUCGCGGCUUAUCAGUUUGUUGGUGGGGUAGUGGCUUACCAAGGCUGUGACGGGUAGCCGGCCUGAGAGGGUGACCGGCCACACUGGGACUGAGACACGGCCCAGACUCCUACGGGAGGCAGCAGUGGGGAAUAUUGCACAAUGGGCGGAAGCCUGAUGCAGCAACGCCGCGUGCGGGAUGACGGCCUUCGGGUUGUAAACCUCUUUCGCCUGGGACGAAGCGUAAGUGACGGUAAUUGGUGAAGAAGCACCGGCUAACUACGUG